GGCCCGAAAGCUCUAGAAUGCACCCCCCUUCUUCCCCGGGGCCUUCCACCUCCGCGAGUUUUAUGACUUAAAAAACCCCACAGGCUGGUCUGAAGAGGAAGACAAACAUAAAGAUGAAGUGCUUAAUUCAAGGUCACACAAUGUCGGGGAUGGACCUCCAGAUUUCCUUACUGGUGAGACGUGGUCUUGUAACACAGUGGUUAAGAAUGUGACUUUGGAGCCAGCCUGCUAGGGGCUGAAUUCUGACUCAGCCAUUUACUAACUGUGUGACCUUAGGUCACAGAAUUUUCCACACUCCUUGACGGAGGUGCUUAACCCUUAUCCAUCAGCAUUCUCAGACAGCACCUCCGGUUAGGGACAGUAUCUGACCGUCCGACAUCCCUGCAGCCCCCAUGUGUCACACAGACUCAGCCUCAGGUAGAUGGUUUCCGUAGAUGGUGGCUUUCUUUGGACCCUUGACAUCAACCAGUUACUAUUUGCCAGAGACAGACUCCCAGACUCGGCCAGAGGCUGAUGCCGACUCCUUCCAGCUCUCACGGUAACCAUGAGGCCCCUGCGUGUUUCUGCUGUGGAGGUCCCAGAGGGAACUGUAUGGACAGACACAGCCUGAAGGGCCAUCUGCCUCAAGCCACAGCAGCACAGAAUUCUAAAGAUUGUGGGGAAGGAUGGCGCCUAGGGGACCAGAUGUGCAGAGGUAAUGAAUACCAGGGAAUCAGGAAACCACUGGAUCAGUUCUUUGAGCCACAGAACAACACUCAUCCCAGCAGCUGGGAAGCUAUCUGCAAAAGUCCAUCUGCAGAAAGGGCUUCCUGGUCUUGCGUGUGGCUGGGCCAUUUCUCUGGAUGCAGGUUUUUCAUUAUACAGUCUUCUCAAAGAAACACCUGCUCUCAACACCUUCUCGGUGACUCCAUUUCCCCUCCUCU
RNAcentral lists this non-coding RNA (923 nucleotides) under Pan troglodytes (chimpanzee). The record is from RNAcentral. Lineage: Eukaryota; Metazoa; Chordata; Mammalia; Primates; Hominidae.